UACAGAGGGUGCAAGCGUUAAUCGGAAUUACUGGGCGUAAAGCGUGCGUAGACGGUUAUGUAAGUUAGGUGUGAAAUCCCCAGGCUCAACCUGGGAACUGCGUCUGAUACUGGAUGGCUUGAAUCCGGGAGAGGGAUGCAGAAUUCCAGGUGUAGCGGUGAAAUGCGUAGAUAUCCGGAGGAACACCGGUGGCGAAGGCGGCAUCCUGGACCGACACUGACGCUGAGGAGCGAAAGCCAGGGGAGCAAACGGG
Molecule: ribosomal RNA, 253 nt
Filed under: uncultured bacterium
Lineage: Bacteria
Description: partial 16S ribosomal RNA
Rfam family: Bacterial small subunit ribosomal RNA
Source: RNAcentral